Molecule: long non-coding RNA, 740 nt
Organism: Armigeres subalbatus
Lineage: Eukaryota; Metazoa; Arthropoda; Insecta; Diptera; Culicidae
Exons: 3
Source: RefSeq, a predicted model, not a curated record
UGGAAGUGUCUUGCUUUGUUCGUGUGUCGUUUUUCAAUUUUUCUAGUUGAAUUGUGCAAGUCAAUAUAGUGUGCGUCGUAGGCUAGAUUUGUGUGCUUAAAAUCGAUCUAGGCCAGCCGACGGCUAUAUUUCCUUCCAAACGCCAGGUCAGCGGAAUCCCCCGGACGAAAGACCCCGGCAACCGUCAUCUUGUCCGGUGGGAAGCGAUUCGUCCUUAUAUCGCUUCAGUGGGGAGUGUGGUUGUCCAUUGCCACCAUCGACCAAGCCGCCAUUCGAGACACGUGGAAGUCGCCAACUGCCAUUCAUUGGCCCACGUGGUGGCCCUCAAUCGUCAACCGCCAGCGGCGGUAACAGCAGCGCAGGAUACAGAAGCAGUAACCAUCUGGUGAGUCCGGACCAAUUAUUCUUGCGUGAAGUGUGGCGUCCGCUGAGGACGCCACGGAGAAGUUUUUUGUGCCAACCGUAGGUUGAAGAGCAUGACUUGCUAAAAAGUUCGAACUUUGGAUGAAUUGAGGUUGGGUGUCGGCGAGAAACUAGAACGUGCGCACGUACCGUAAUUUAUGGCCGCCCACCCAACCCAAUCAGAUUAGACACCCGGGUGCAACAGCAUUAGCCGUUUCGUUGCUGCAUCGAUGUCACAUCGCUGGUAAUGAAGAAACAAGCACAACAGCACAGAUAGAGUAGUUAAAACGCACACAGAUAGUAUAGGAUAGGUUAAAGAGGAGAGGAAGAAAUCUACA